UACGUAGGUGGCAAGCGUUGUCCGGAUUUACUGGGCGUAAAGGGAGCGUAGGCGGAUUUUUAAGUGAGAUGUGAAAUACCCGGGCUUAACUUGGGUGCUGCAUUUCAAACUGGAAGUCUAGAGUGCAGGAGAGGAGAAGGGAAUUCCUAGUGUAGUGGUGAAAUGCGUAGAGAUAUGGAGGAACACCAGUGGCGAAGGCGGCUUCCUGGUCUGUAACUGACACUGAGGCGCGAAAGCGUGGGGAGCAAACAGGAUUAGAUACCCUGGUAGU
This 271-nucleotide ribosomal RNA is filed under the name uncultured prokaryote. RNAcentral describes it as "partial 16S ribosomal RNA". It matches the Rfam family "Bacterial small subunit ribosomal RNA", at positions 524 to 794 of the family's 1533-position model. The record is from RNAcentral.